UACGUAGGGCGCAAGCGUUGUCCGGAAUUAUUGGGCGUAAAGAGCUCGUAGGUGGUUUGUUACGUCUGCUGUGAAAACCUAGGGCUUAACCCUGGGCCUGCAGUGGAUACGGGCAGACUAGAGGUAGGUAGGGGAGAAUGGAAUUCCCGGUGUAGCGGUGAAAUGCGCAGAUAUCAGGAGGAACACCAAUGGCGAAGGCAGCUCGCUGGGACGGUACUGACGCUGAGACGCGAAAGCGUGGGGAGCAAACAGG
RNAcentral lists this ribosomal RNA (253 nucleotides) under uncultured bacterium. RNAcentral describes it as "partial 16S ribosomal RNA". It matches the Rfam family "Bacterial small subunit ribosomal RNA", at positions 524 to 776 of the family's 1533-position model. The record is from RNAcentral.